AGCAUUUUCUUUAUCCAACACUGCAUGAAAGUCCACCUGGGGUCUUGUAAGGACAGGUAGUUAAAAGUCACCUUUAUUUCCAGCAGGUGCUGCCAAGGGUCACCUGUGAGGGAGGCACUUGUGGUCACACCUGGCUGGCAUCUGUUAAAUAUAUAAAGGUUAAAACUUGGAUCCAUCCUUCUGUUCAGGUGCAAGGCUCUGAUCAGGGUCAGGCUUCUCAGGGACUUGUUACUCAGGGUGAAGGUUUGAUGUGCUGGACCGGCCUUAAACUCACAAACACCGGCCCUGACCCUCACAUGACUGUCCGUUUCAAAAAAAAAGUCCAGCUCAACGCUUCAGGGCGGAUAUUUCUGCUUCUUUGGCUGUUUCAAGGCUCAUGGGAGGGUCUGGACAAACGGGUUAUAAUUGACAUAUUUUGUAAAGCGGAUUACAAAGGGGGUCACACUGGUCCUGAGACUUCAAAAAGGGUCAUUGAGUUUGUUAUGAAUGGCAGUGGAAAUUAGAAAUCCAUAGGGUUAGACCUCUGAAGUUUAGGCGGCGGCAGAACAGAAUACACUUUUCAUAAAUCAGAGUAGUUCACUCAUCAGAAGCAGCGGAGAUAAUUACAUUUGGUGUUUUCAUUGUGUGGUUAGACAUCUUUCCAUCGCUUUGAAUUCACCUGUCCUGAGUCCUGCCAGAGUUUGCGCAGCCUCAUGCAAGUUUUAUCACACUGGAAACAGUUCGGCCCUUAAUGGUAUUCCCAGCGCACUGCAGUGAAAUAGUUACUUUAUCAGCGUGGCUAAUCAGAUGAAGAAUGUUUAUCCGGCGUCCUG
Non-coding RNA from Labrus bergylta (ballan wrasse), 812 nucleotides. NCBI's taxonomy places the organism in Eukaryota, Metazoa, Chordata, Actinopteri, Labriformes, Labridae. The record is from RefSeq and is a predicted model, not a curated record.